AAUAGAUACCCCGGUAGUCCACGCCGUAAACGAUGGAUACUAGCUGUUGGGGGCGACCUCAGUGGCUAAGCGAAAGUGAUAAGUAUCCCACCUGGGGAGUACGUUCGCAAGAAUGAAACUCAAAGGAAUUGACGGGGGCCCGCACAAGCGGUGGAGCAUGUGGUUUAAUUCGAUGAUACGCGAGGAACCUUACCAAGGCUUAAAUGCAGACUGACCGUUUUGGAAACAGAACUUUCGCAAGACAGUCUACAAGGUGCUGCAUGGUUGUCGUCAGCUCGUGCCGUGAGGUGUCAGGUUAAGUCCUAUAACGAGCGCAACCCCUGUUGUUAGUUGCCAGCGAGUAGUGUCGGGAACUCUAACAAGACUGCCAGUGCAAACUGUGAGGAAGUGGGGAUGACGUCAAAUCAUCACGGCCCUUAGCCUUGGGCUACACACGUGCUACAAUGGCCGGUACAGAGAGCAGCCACCUCGCGAGGGGGAGCGAAUCUACAAAGCCGGUCACAGUUCGGAUCGGAGUCUGCAACUCGA
This 528-nucleotide ribosomal RNA is filed under the name uncultured bacterium. Its description in RNAcentral is "bacterial SSU rRNA". It matches the Rfam family "Bacterial small subunit ribosomal RNA", at positions 777 to 1315 of the family's 1533-position model. The record is from RNAcentral.